UGGGGAAUAUUGCACAAUGGGCGCAAGCCUGAUGCAGCGACGCCGCGUGCGGGAUGGAGGCCUUCGGGUUGUAAACCGCUUUUGUUUGGGAGCAAGCCCUUCGGGGUGAGUGUACCUUUCGAAUAAGCACCGGCUAACUACGUGCCAGCAGCCGCGGUAAUACGUAGGGUGCGAGCGUUAUCCGGAUUUAUUGGGCGUAAAGGGCUCGUAGGCGGUUCGUCGCGUCCGGUGUGAAAGUCCAUCGCCUAACGGUGGAUCUGCGCCGGGUACGGGCGGGCUGGAGUGCGGUAGGGGAGACUGGAAUUCCCGGUGUAACGGUGGAAUGUGUAGAUAUCGGGAAGAACACCAAUGG
RNAcentral lists this ribosomal RNA (352 nucleotides) under uncultured Bifidobacterium sp. RNAcentral describes it as "bacterial SSU rRNA". It matches the Rfam family "Bacterial small subunit ribosomal RNA", at positions 355 to 715 of the family's 1533-position model. Lineage: Bacteria; Bacillati; Actinomycetota; Actinomycetes; Bifidobacteriales; Bifidobacteriaceae. The record is from RNAcentral.